RNAcentral lists this long non-coding RNA (348 nucleotides) under Salmo salar (Atlantic salmon). RNAcentral describes it as "lncRNA (ENSSSAG00000089558.1)". The record is from RNAcentral. Lineage: Eukaryota; Metazoa; Chordata; Actinopteri; Salmoniformes; Salmonidae.
GGUACAGAGUCAGUGUGGAGGUUAUAUACAGGGGGUACCGGUACAGAGUCAGUGUGGAGGUUAUAUACAGGGGGUACCGGUACAGAGUCAGUGUGGAGGUUAUAUACAGGGGGUACCGGUACAGAGUCAGUGUGGAGGCUAUAUACAGGGGGUACAGGUACCGAGUCAGUGUGGAGGUUAUAUACAGGGGGUACCGGUACAGAGUCAGUGUGGAGGCUAUAUACAGGGGGUACCGGUACAGAGUCAAUGUGGAGGCUAUAUACAGGGGGUACCGGUACAGAGUCAGUGUGGAGGCUAUAUACAGGGGGUACCGGUACAGAGUCAAUGUGGAGGCUAUAUACAGGGGGG